Molecule: small RNA, 3230 nt
Filed under: Malus domestica (apple)
Lineage: Eukaryota; Viridiplantae; Streptophyta; Magnoliopsida; Rosales; Rosaceae
Description: sRNA MD04G0108800
Source: RNAcentral
GGCUCACAAGGUUUUUCUGAAUUUGUAGGUCCAGGAUUUAUUUUUGAAAGGAUGAAAUCGUUUGCUGUUGAGGUUCCCGUGCAGAAGAGCGAAAAUGUUGCAAGUGGAAGAUAGAUAACAGCUCAAGACACAUGGUAUGAGGGUGCAGAAUAGUCACGAGCGAAUCUGGUUUAGAGAUUUUGUUUCCAAUCUACAUUCGGUGCCUUGCUCAGAUCGGCUCUGCACUCAUCAUCGACGACUCCGCCUUCACGAAGGACUCCAUAAAUCCCAAGACCAAUAAAGGUAAAGCACGCCCACCUCUUUUUUUCACUCGUUUUCAUGAUCGAAUGUCAAAUGAAGCGACUCUGAUUCAUGCAUGUGUGUAUGGUGUAUUCUAUAAAUGGGCUUCUCAAUUUGUUGUCUGGAUUGAAGAAAAGGUAGAUGGAGCUCUCGAAAAUUUCAGAUCCAAGAAAAGAGAAAGCAUUUUUUGUGUGAAAACCCUAAAAUGGAGACAAAAAAGAAAGGAUGGCAGACAUGAAGAGGGCUUUGGUGCAAGGAUCAGUUGCGGCGACUUUAAAUAAUGAUAGAGGUGAUUUUAGAAGGUUUUUGUGCAAUUUAAGGUAUCUCGGGCUCCAGAAAUUUCUAAUGCACAAGGCUUAGAUCACUUGCCAUCUGCACAUACUUGGUAACUUCGACUCUGAUAUCAUAUUUUUCUUUUUCUUGAAUAUGUUCUCUAUUAUCUGUUUGAGUUAUCAAAUACCAUUUGAAAUUACUUUUCAGAAAACUAAAGCCUUCAAAUUAAGUUUAUCCAAUUGCGAGUGCGCAACUUAUUAAAGAAAUUUACUAAAUCUGGUAUGAAACAUGAAAAGAGGUACAUAGUCUUUGACUUCGUAUGUUAGUUUAAGUCGUUUACUGUGCAUUCCAUAUUAGUUCCAUUUAAAGUAUACCAAUUACAAAUCAAAUGGGCAGAGGUUUCCUAAGUUGGUAAAUGGUUUUACCAAGUCUUCUUACUUAUUGGUAAUAAGCCAUUUAUUAUUAUUAUUGGAUUUGAUUUGAUUCCAAUGAGUUGCACAUGUACAUUUUGGAUUGGAUUCCUUUGCUUUAUAAACAAUUUCUAAAUUUCCUUUUCUAUUUCUCUCCUAAUAAUUAAUUUUCUAGAAUUUUUAUAGGGAGAACUACGUGUGUGCAAAAAUAUGGUGGAAGGAAUUGAUGUAUCUUAAUUUUAUUCUAAUUAUCUGUGAUUAAGCUGAUUAAGUGAUCAGACAUGUAAUUACUUUGAUUUCUGCCAAUUAGGCAAAUGAUGGUGUUCUAAGAAUUUAAAAAGUUUACUGUUCAUUCUAUUUCAAUGAUUAGAAUCGUUUAAUUUUUAGGUUUUUUUCUAGAAAGAUAUAUGAUGACAAAGUGUGUCAAUAUAAUGGAAAUAAAGCGAAGAUUACGAAGUCGAGUACCCAGACUAAGAAAUGAGUUUUGGAUCGUAAUAAUGGCUGCACUUUUCCUUGGAAUGGUCAAUGCUUUCUAUUUUUAACUUAUCCGUGGGUAGAGAAUAUUAAUGAAUUUAUAUGUUAUCCUCUGCCUUUUAGUGUUUUUAGUUGAUUAGAGUUGAACAUGGAGAAGUUUUUGAGACUUUUAGACAUGUUGGACCUCUCACAGUUGAUGUGGAUUUUUUGAAAGACAAACUGCGAGAAGAUUUGCUUGGCCACUUUGAUCAAUUGAAGUGAUUAGGAAUUAGGACCUUGGUUAUAUCCAACAGUUCACUGCCUAAAUACAAAAUUCAUAUAGACAGUUUCUGGGUGGGUAGCUCACGAUUCCUCGGGCAAGAUUACUCAUUUCGUCUUCAAACGAAGAGAAAAUGGGAUCAACAGUACAUAAAGAUUGGGUGGGUAUCGAAUACUGAAAUUCUGUGUGGGAAGGAAGGAAGUAGAGACCGCCCAAAAAAAAAAGAGAGUAUAUAUGUAUAUAAUGGGUUAGGUGCAAUGCAGAUGGCAAAGGGGUAACAGUGCAAUUUGAGUCCAAAAAAAAAAAAAGCUCAAAUCAAAAGAGGAAGCUACCCGAAAUGGAAAUUGGGAACGUUGGAAUUACAGAGGUUUCAAAACCCACCAAUUCGGAAGCUCAAAUUUCCCACCUUGCUCUCGAUAUUGGAGGUUCCCUGAUAAAGUUAGUGUAUUUCUCAACGAACAGUGACAAUUCGUCUUCUUUGAAUGAUAGCUUAGCAUCUUUUAAUGGCGAUAAAAGGCGUCCUGUUCUUGAAGGGAAGCUCCAUUUCGCAAAGUUUGAAACUUAGAAAAUGAAUGACUGUAUAGACUUCAUUCAGUCUAAGCAACUUCGCCUUACUGGUUAUUCAGUUUCAUCUGGAAUUCAAAGAUCAUUGUUGGAUAUUUCACACGGAAGUAAGAGCUGCCUGAUAAUUCACCAGGCCCCGACUGCCCUCGCUCCCGGCUUCAGGUUCCACCCGACACACGAGGAACUCGUCAUUUACUACCUCAAGCGCAAGGUCUGUCGCAAACCUUUUGAUUCUCCAUUUUUCUACGGUUCAUGAUCACUCACCUCGAGUACAAACUCCGCUGCUCAAGCUCUCACUUCGGCGAUCUCUCUGGUGAGCUUCACUAGUAUGCGAAGCUUUUUGAAGCUGAAACUUCGAGCUUUCAGAUAGAUUCAGUGCGGCGGAUGAAGAUGUUGAGGUACACUGUUUUGCUCGGUUUGUUUCUUCUUCUGGUGGCAGGCCAAACGAUGUUGCAUUUGGGCUUCGGUCCACACAUUGCAGACGUCAACAUUCUGCUGCCUCUCAGAAUGACUCAUCCGGUCGAGUAUCAGCUCUAGGGGUGAUGAUUGCUUCAAAUGGGUAUAGAUGGAGGAAGUAUGGUAAAAAAAGCAGUGAAGGUAAAACAGGUUCCUUUAAACACACAGCUGGAAAGUGGUCUAGCACCACAAUGAUAAAGGAAUUCAGACAUAAUGAUGCCAAGCUGUUUGCCAUCCCAUUACAAGGUCCCAACACCAACCAGGCUGAAAGCAAAAGAAAAAAUAAAAGAAAAAGCAGUAAGCAUGACUGCCUAUUAAGUGCAGCAGAGAAAAGAAAAACGGGGAAGAAGAUAAAGGAAAAGCAGACGGGGUGAUGCCAUGAUUAUGGCCACGACCCAUUGAGCAGGCUCUCCCCCCCCCCCGCGGCAACUACCAGCUGCACAUGCUAUCCAACCAGCGGCAACUACCAGCUGCACAUGCUAUCCAACCAUCUGUCAUACCCACUUUCAGUAGCU